CAUCAACACAGGAAAGUGUCUAAUGAAUUUUUAUUUUCACUUCCCCAAACCAACCUACCACGAAGCAGAGAGGACCUGUUUUCUCAUAUCAUCACAUCUGAUGGAUAUGCCAAACUUCAUCCAAAUUCAAACAGGCACACCCUGAAUGACAUGGGGAAAUGGAAGGAGAAAAAAAAAAACAAUGCUAAAAAGCCUAGAGAUGACCACAUAUGAAACGACCAUGUGUGUAAAGGAUUGCUGGAAAAUAAAUCAGGAAGUAUGAGGAGAUUUUCCUCCAGUAUUCACUGUGAGAAACUGGUCCUGCUCCUGGAGGCAAAUUCACAAAAGCACGGAGGCCCUGAUGACUGAGUGCCCCCCAGUUUUUAAUCUCUGGGGCUCGUUGGCUCUGGGCCUCCAGCCACUCAUCAGUGAUGUUCAGGUUUCCCUACCUUGGCACUGCUUCCCACGGAGAGAUGGCCUGGAUUCUGCCAUGUAAAUCAAAGAAGAGAGGGCCUAACUCAGCUGCCUAGCCUGGAUCACCUGGAACCCAUUAGGAUACAGGAUCAUAAACACCUCUAUUUUCCCUUCAGAGAGAGACCAGAACCACUGGAGUUAAGCUACCUGCAUAAGAGUUGAGUGCGAUCAGCUGUACUUAAUCUUUAAAUGUCCAACCCACUGAUAACCUUUGGUUUGCUUUGAUAACUAUGAAAUAAAUUCUCACUGCAUUGGA
Molecule: long non-coding RNA, 709 nt
Filed under: Homo sapiens (human)
Lineage: Eukaryota; Metazoa; Chordata; Mammalia; Primates; Hominidae
Description: HSALNT0393344
Source: RNAcentral